AGAGUUUGAUCCUGGCUCAGGAUGAACGCUGGCGGCGUGCCUUAGGUAUGCAAGUCGAGCGGUUCCGAUUUAAUCGGGACAGCGGCAGACGGGUGAGUAACGCGUAGGAAUCUACCUCGAAGUGGAGCAUAGCCCCGAGAAAUCGGGGGUAAUUCUCCAUGUGUCCCGACGUUACGUCGGAGUAAAGGGUGUAACUACUCGCUUCGGGAGGAGCCUGCGUCCUAUCAGCUUGUUGGUGAGGUAAAAGCUCACCAAGGCGACGACGGGUAGCUGGACUGAGAGGUCGGCCAGCCACAAUGGCACUGCGAUACGGGCCAUACACCUACGGGUGGCAGCAACCGGGAAUAUUGCGCAAUGGGCGAAAGCCUGACGCAGCGACGCCGCGUGAAGGAUGAAGGCCUUCGGGUUGUAAACUUCUGUGCUCCGACGUAACGUCGGAGUAGAAAGCACCAGCAAACUACGUGCCAGCAGCGGCGGUAAUUCGCAGGGUGCAAGCGUUAUCCGGAUUUAUUGGGCGUAAAGAGUUUUGUAAGCGGUUUGAGAAGUUAUUGGUCAAAGCCUUUUGCUUAACAGAAGAUCGGCCAGUAAUACUCUCAGACUAGUCCAUAUUCGAGGGUGCUGGAAUUGGCGGUGGAGGGGUGAAAUCCAUUGAGAUCGCCAAGAACACCGAGGGCGAAGGCAGGCACCUAGGAUAUUGGAGACGCUGAGGAACGAAAGCUAGGGGGGCGAACCGGAUUAGAUACCCUGGUAGUCC
Molecule: ribosomal RNA, 754 nt
Filed under: uncultured bacterium
Lineage: Bacteria
Description: bacterial SSU rRNA
Rfam family: Bacterial small subunit ribosomal RNA
Source: RNAcentral